Molecule: long non-coding RNA, 2799 nt
Filed under: Panax ginseng (ginseng)
Lineage: Eukaryota; Viridiplantae; Streptophyta; Magnoliopsida; Apiales; Araliaceae
Description: long non-coding RNA (PGIN_LNC018372)
Source: RNAcentral
UUUUAAUAUAAUCUUAUUUUUCUACACAAAAAAGUAGAAGUAAUUUUGUGUAUUUUUAAUUGCAAAAUAUUUAAAUUCAUUUAUAUAAUUAGCUGCAUCUAUAGUUAAUAUAGUUUAGUUUGUUCUGUUUUUGAAAUACUCCCUAGAACAACUUUUUAAUUAUAAGGAAAAAUGGUUAAAAACAAAAAAGAGAGCUAACAAAUAUUUUAGGCAAGUAUUAAAAAUAAAAAAGAAGAGUGAGACGAGAUAACUACAUUUUGGUUAAAGAUGAGGAGAGAGAAAAUAGAUGAAUAUAUAAAUGAAAGGGUGUUUUGGACAUUUGAUAACAUAUUUAAUUAACAAUAAUUAAGUUUCGUCGUCGUAUGUACCGGUCAUUAGUACUGUAUUAAUUGUGGACCAUUGGAUAUUUUAAAACUAAUUGUGGACCAUUGGAUAUUUUAAAACGGAUCUGAUAGUUAAGAUUAAAUCCUCAUUAUCUCACUCCAAUUAUUUAUCCAACCAAAUUCACCCCAUCAAACCCACAGCCACAAAACCAGUAAACUCCAUCGGAUUUUCUCAAUUCUUUUCAUAUACUUACCACGGUUGCUGCUGUGCUUGAAACAGUAACAAUCCCUCGGGCUUCCAGUCCUCUGACGGCGGCCUCCUUUCCUCCAAUCGUCAGUUCUUCCGUUUUUGCGCUGUCCGGUGGCCGGAGAUAAAUCGUCAGUUCAUGUUGUUGUAUAUUUUCAUCUUGUUGUAUAUUUUCAUAUUUACCCAACCACAAAACAAAUCAAACCUUAACAAACUAAUAACUGAUUUUCUUGAGCUAGCAGAUAGAAUAAAUUAUAUAUACAUAUAACGGAACAGUACUUACCAUCUGAAGUAACAAUGUGGGCGAGUGAGGAGAUUAAAUCCUAUAAUAGGGAUUAGGAAAGUGUGAGCUUUUGGGUGGUGACCGCCACCGGUGACGAUAAGGAUUGGAUAUAUGCGUACCUAGUUUUUUCUUUAGGUCAAGAAAUUGAAGCCUCUCUCUCUCCGGAAGAUUACAACGGCCAACAAAAUUACAAAAAUCAACUAGUCAAUUGCAUUCAAAAAUUGUAUUUCUCCCCAGAUUUAUUUUGUUUAGUAACCCUCUCUUCUUAAUGACCGCAACCCUGUUGUAAGAUCUCAAUUCUCCCCCUCUUUAUCUCCGGCCACCGGACACCGCAAAAAUAGAAGAACUGACGAUUGGAUAUACAACAAGAUGAAAAUAUGCAUGUUGUAUAUGCGAAAUGUUGAAUAUGAUAAUAGACUUACUGAAAAAAGUAUUCAGCCGACGGCAAGCUGGCAAAUUCAUGUUAUUUUUAUAACAAUAGUACUAAUAUUUUAUCUUUUUUUUGGGUUAUAAUUGAGAAAUAAAUAAAGGGUAAAAAAAACUUUAAAUAAAGAAAUAAAAAAGGCACGCCACUAUUGUCAAAAUCGGAAGGCAACGCGUGAGAAUGGGGAAAUUCAUUUCCACACUGACCACGAACGACUCGCCUGCGCCUUCCUAAACUAAAUUUGACUUUCCACAACAAAAUCAAAUCUUUUCUCUUUCUCUCUCCUUAAUUUCUUCUUCUGUGGGAGGGAAGAGAUUUGCGACGAUUUCAAGGCAGGAUGCAGAAGAUUAAUAAUAAGCAAGAUCAUCGGUCGAGAUCUGCCAAGCCAACCACCAUUCACGGCUGCGCUCAGUCUGGGGAUUUGGCCGGCUUCCAGAAGCUACUUAGGGACAACCCCUCUCUUCUUAAUGACCGCAACCCUGUUGUAAGAUCUCAAUUCUCCCCCUCUUUAUUUUCGUGUGAAUUUUGUUUAAUUAAAGAAACCCAUUUCGUUUAUGAUUUUAUUUUCGAAUUUUCAAUGUUUUGAGGACCAUUCAAGAGGUAAGUUUCAAGAUUUCUUUUUUAGAAUACACUACUCAAAACGAGAAGAAACCCAAAACGAGAUCACAGCCAUGAUUGUAAUUAAAUACACUACUCAAAACCCAAUUUGAUCAACAUUCAAAUAAUAAUAAUAAAUUUAAAAAAAAAAAAGAAAGAGAGGAACAAAUACCAAUUCUGGAUAUGGGUAUGCAAGAAAUCGGAAUGCAAAGGCCAAAUUUCUGAGGGAAAUCGGAAAAUCCCAAAGGCCUCGAUUGAAUUGAAACGGCAGGGUAGCAGGUUUUGUUGGCUGGUGAUGAUGGAGACACGCGAAGGAGAGUGAGUUGCUACCCAUCAGUCUGUACUACCCCGCAACUCUUACACUACUAUCUCGCUGCUAAUCGGAAGAGCAACAGUCGUUUUCACAACCAAACUCCUUUUUCUUGAAUGUUUAAUCUUAACCAUUAGAUCAAUUUUAAAAUAUCUAAUGGUCCACAAUUAAUACAGUACUAAUGACCGGUACAUAAAGUACCGGUCCUCCCCCAAUCCGUGUUCAAGAUAUUCCGUUUGGGAUAAGGUCCAAAAAUGUCUCUGAUAUUUUUUUCAAUGUCUAUCGAGCAUCAUAUAUUUUUUUUUUGUCCAAAAAUAUCCUUAACGGUAUAAUUUUUAGGUCAUUCGUGCCCCUGCCGUUAACAACUCUGCCAACUAGAUAAACGGGUGUUAAAUCCUCUAUGACGUGGCUGACACGUGUCAAUAUUUGCUGACAUGGCAAUAUUUGUUGAUAUUUAUUUUGUUUAUUAAUUAUUUAUUUUGUUUUAAAGAAAAAUAAAAUAAAUAAUUAAUAAACAAAAUUAAUAUUUAUAUUUAAUAAACAAAAUAAAUAUUUAUAUUUAUAUUUAAUUCAUUAAUACAUAUAACAAAAAUUCGUCCUCUUAAAUUAAUCAAU